Molecule: long non-coding RNA, 1121 nt
Organism: Zalophus californianus (California sea lion)
Lineage: Eukaryota; Metazoa; Chordata; Mammalia; Carnivora; Otariidae
Exons: 5
Source: RefSeq, a predicted model, not a curated record
UACAACGUGAGUCUGAACAUCUUGUGAUGCCAAAGAAUGAGAAGGUGCUCAAAACUGGGUGGGGGCCGGGGCGCUGCGGGGCUCAGUCGGUUUAGCAUGUGACUCUUGAUUUCGGCUCAGGUCAUGAUCUCAGGGUUGUGGGAUCCAGCCCCGCAUCAGGCUCUGUACUUUGGCACAGAGUCUGCUUCUCCCUCUCCCUCUGCUCCUCCCCUGCUCGUGCUCUCUCUCUCUCAAAUAAUAAAAUCUUUAAAAACAAAAAACAAAAACACUGAGAUUAUAAUAGACAACGAAAGACGGCCCAGACUGCUGAAGACUGAGGAAAAGAAACAAGUAAAUGCAACGUGGGGUCCUGGAAAGAACCAUGAACUCAGUGGGGAAAGUGAUGCUGUUCAGGAGACAGACAACAGGAAGAGGGACACAGCAGCUGCGGCAUCCGAGUAUGAACCAGGCAAACAGACCCAGCUAUCAGGACGGCCACAAGAGAGCUCAAAGCCCAGUGAUGCCCCACAGGUAAUCUUUAUACCCAGCGUGGGGCUCGAACUCACAACCCUAAGAUCAAGAGUCACAUGCUCUACUGGCUGAGCCAGCCAGGCGCCCCCACAAGAAAACCUUCUGGAAAAUGGUGUGGAUCCAAUCGACAAUUAUAAUGUCACUGAGCGCAUUAUAACCAAAGUCUCCCUCCAUACCAGAUGCCAGAUCCUUCAGGAACCUACCCCAGGCCAUCUUAUCCUCAUUCUUCAGCACACAGUGGAGGCUCCAGCCCAGUCCCGCCAACGACAGCCACACCUAGCCCUCACCGCACCCUCUCUCCGGCACUCCAGGACAAACCUGCCACAGGAAACCCACCCGUGGACGCCCCAAGACAUCUAAAAUGUCAUCGGGUCAAAAACAGAAGAUAACAUCCUUCUCAACUUUGGGGGGACAGCUGUGCCAUGGUGCCCUGGUGACCUUGCACGUAUCCACACAGACCACACGGGCAAAGGCCUGAGUCACAACCCAUCUCUGUGUCGGUGGAACACCCCGAGAAAAGCAGGUGUUUCUGCCAAUUCAAUGCUGCUACGGUAGGGCACUAUUCAUUACGCUGAAUGUGACACAGGAUCUACAAACAUGCAGGAAGGCCU